RNAcentral lists this microRNA precursor (78 nucleotides) under Trichobilharzia regenti. Its description in RNAcentral is "mir-3492 microRNA precursor family". It matches the Rfam family "mir-3492 microRNA precursor family". Lineage: Eukaryota; Metazoa; Platyhelminthes; Trematoda; Strigeidida; Schistosomatidae. The record is from Rfam by way of RNAcentral.
AGCCUUUUGUAUGCGUGCUGAGGAUUCUUCAGUAACCAGUCCAUUAGGGUUGAUAAAUCGCCUCAAAUAAAUGAAGUG